AAUUCCUCCUUUUCCUUUCGCUUUAGGAAAUAAAAGCAGCUCGGGUUGGCAAGGCUCGCAUGCGUCCAUUCGAUCAGGUCGUAAGCCUGAAGUUCCUCGCGCGUCAGUGCCACUCUGCCAAAGCCAAAGAAAUCCCAGAUCGGCGUGUGUCCAAACAGGGCCUUCAGUUCCUCGGUCGUAGCAAAAUGACCGGACAGGAGCUGAUACUCGGCCUUGUUCUUUACAUUCCGAUCGAUCUGGGUGAGCCUGUUCGCCG
This 256-nucleotide unclassified non-coding RNA is filed under the name uncultured fungus. RNAcentral's name for it is "sequence contains ITS1". Lineage: Eukaryota; Fungi. The record is from RNAcentral.